GGGAUUGCCCUAGUAACGGCGAGUGAAGCGGCAACAGCUCAAAUUUGAAAUCUGGCGCAAGCCCGAGAUGUAAUUUGUAGAGGAUGCUUCUGGGUAGCGACCGAUCUAAGUUCCUUGGAACAGGACGUCAUAGAGGGUGAGAAUCCCGUAUGUGACCGGCCCGCACCCUUCACGUAGCUCCUUCGACGAGUCGAGUUGUUUGGGAAUGCAGCUCUAAAUGGGAGGUAAAUUUCUUCUAAAGCUAAAUACCGGCCAGAGACCGAUAGCGCACAAGUAGAGUGAUCGAAAGAUGAAAAGUACUUUGGAAAGAGAGUUAAAAAGCACGUGAAAUUGUUGAAAGGGAAGCGCCUGCAACCAGACUUCGUGGCAGUGUUCCGCCGGUCUUCUGACCGGUUCAUUCUCUGUCGCGAGGCCAUCAUCGUCUCGGCCCGCCGGAUAAGACCUUGGGAAUGUAGCUCCCCUUCGGGGGAGUGUUAUAGCCCAUGGUGAUGCGGCGAGGCUGGGGCGAGGUCCGCGCUUCGGCAAGGAUGAUGGCGUAAUGGUUGUCGGCGGCCCGUCUUGAAACACGGACCAAGGAGUCUAACAUCUAUGCGAGUGUUCGGGUGUCAAACCCCUACGCGUAAUGAAAGUGAAUGGAGGUGGGAACCGCAAGGUGCACCAUCGACCGAUCCUGAUGUCCUCGGAUGGAUUUGAGUAAGAGCAUAGCUGUUGGGACCCGAAAGAUGGUGAACUAUGCCUGGAUAGGGUGAAGCCAGAGGAAACUCUGGUGGAGGCUCGCAGCGGUUCUGACGUGCAAAUCGAUCGUCAAAUUUGGGUAUAGGGGCG
This 825-nucleotide ribosomal RNA is filed under the name Septoria ekmaniana. Its description in RNAcentral is "eukaryotic LSU rRNA". It matches the Rfam family "Eukaryotic large subunit ribosomal RNA", at positions 71 to 925 of the family's 3401-position model. Lineage: Eukaryota; Fungi; Ascomycota; Dothideomycetes; Mycosphaerellales; Mycosphaerellaceae. The record is from RNAcentral.